Molecule: ribosomal RNA, 402 nt
Filed under: uncultured bacterium
Lineage: Bacteria
Description: bacterial SSU rRNA
Rfam family: Bacterial small subunit ribosomal RNA
Source: RNAcentral
AUUGAACGCUGGCGGCAUGCCUUACACAUGCAAGUCGAACGGCAGCACGGGAGCAAUCCUGGUGGCGAGUGGCGAACGGGUGAGUAAUAUAUCGGAACGUGCCCAGUCGUGGGGGAUAACGUAGCGAAAGCUACGCUAAUACCGCAUACGAUCUAUGGAUGAAAGCGGGGGAUCGCAAGACCUCGCGCGAUUGGAGCGGCCGAUAUCAGAUUAGGUAGUUGGUGAGGUAAAGGCUCGCCAAGCCGACGAUCUGUAGCUGGUCUGAGAGGACGACCAGCCACACUGGGACUGAGACACGGCCCAGACUCCUACGGAGGCAGCAGUGGGGGAAUUUUGGGACAAUGGGCGCAAGCCUGAUCCAGCCAAAUGCCGCGUGCAGGAUGAAGGCCUUCGGUUGGUAAC